Molecule: transfer RNA, 77 nt
Filed under: Flavobacteriales bacterium
Lineage: Bacteria; Pseudomonadati; Bacteroidota; Flavobacteriia; Flavobacteriales
Description: tRNA-Val
Rfam family: tRNA
About the family: Transfer RNA (tRNA) molecules are approximately 80 nucleotides in length. Their secondary structure includes four short double-helical elements and three loops (D, anti-codon, and T loops). Further hydrogen bonds mediate the characteristic L-shaped molecular structure. tRNAs have two regions of fundamental functional importance: the anti-codon, which is responsible for specific mRNA codon recognition, and the 3' end, to which the tRNAs corresponding amino acid is attached (by aminoacyl-tRNA synthetases). tRNAs cope with the degeneracy of the genetic code in two manners: having more than one tRNA (with a specific anti-codon) for a particular amino acid; and 'wobble' base-pairing, i.e. permitting non-standard base-pairing at the 3rd anti-codon position.
Source: RNAcentral
GGGCAUUUAGCUCAGCUGGUUAGAGCGCUACCUUGACAUGGUAGAGGUCACUGGUUCGAGUCCAGUAUUGCCCACAA